RNAcentral lists this ribosomal RNA (897 nucleotides) under uncultured organism. Its description in RNAcentral is "bacterial SSU rRNA". It matches the Rfam family "Bacterial small subunit ribosomal RNA", at positions 527 to 1436 of the family's 1533-position model. The record is from RNAcentral.
GUAGGACGCGAGCGUUAUCCGGAAUUACUGGGCGUAAAGGGCCAGCAGGCGGCUUGUAACUUGUGCGUGAAAGCCUCGUGCUCAACGCGAGGAAGCCGGACCAUACUGUCAAGCUAGAGGGCAUCAGAGGGGACUGGAAUUCCCGGAGUAGCGGUAAAAUGCGCAGAUAUCGGGAGGAACACCGAUGGCGAAGGCAGCUCCCUGGGAUGCACCUGACGCUAAGAGGCGAAAGCUAGGGGAGCGUACAGGAUUAGAGACCCUGGUAGUCCUAGCUGUAAACGCUGGGUGCUAGCUGUGGGACGUAGAAGUUCCGUGCCGGAGCAUACGCGAUAAGCACCCCGCCUGGGAAUUACGGUCGCAAGGCUACAAGUCAAACGAAUUGACGGGGCCCCGCACAAGCACCGGAGCGUGUGGUUCAAUUAGAUGCUACACGAAGAACCUUACCUGGGUCUGACAUGUACGUGGAACGAAGGCGAAAGCCUAAGGACCGUUCGGGGAGCGUACACAGGUGCUGCAUGACUGUUGUCAGCUCGUGCCGUGAGGUGUCGGGUUAAGUCCCGUCACGAGCGCAACCCUUGCCCUUAGUUACAAGUGUCUAAGGGGACAUGACCGGCGGGAAGCCGGAGGAAGGUGAGGAUGACGUCAAGUCAGCAUGGCCCUUACGUCCACGGGCUACACACACGCUACAAUGGUCAGUACAAAGGGUAGCGAAGUCGCGAGGCGGAGCGAAUCUCAACGCAGCUGAUUGUAGUUCGGAUUGCAGCCUGCAACCCGCCUGCAUGAAGCUGGAGUUGCUAGUAACCGCGCGUCAGCCAUAGUCCGCUGAAUACGUACCCGGGGCUUGUACACACCGCCCGUCACGUCAUGGGAGUCGGUUACGCCUGAAGCCGGUAGUCU